Molecule: ribosomal RNA, 2901 nt
Filed under: Klebsiella pneumoniae
Lineage: Bacteria; Pseudomonadati; Pseudomonadota; Gammaproteobacteria; Enterobacterales; Enterobacteriaceae
Description: 23S ribosomal RNA
Rfam family: Bacterial large subunit ribosomal RNA
Source: RNAcentral
GGUUAAGCGACUAAGCGUACACGGUGGAUGCCCUGGCAGUCAGAGGCGAUGAAGGACGUGCUAAUCUGCGAAAAGCGUCGGUAAGGUGAUAUGAACCGUUAUAGCCGGCGAUGUCCGAAUGGGGAAACCCAGUGUGAUUCGUCACACUAUCGUUAACUGAAUACAUAGGUUAACGAGGCGAACCGGGGGAACUGAAACAUCUAAGUACCCCGAGGAAAAGAAAUCAACCGAGAUUCCCCCAGUAGCGGCGAGCGAACGGGGAGCAGCCCAGAGUCUGAAUCAGCUUGUGUGUUAGUGGAACGGUCUGGAAAGUCCGACGGUACAGGGUGAUAGUCCCGUACACCAAAAUGCACAGGUUGUGAACUCGAAGAGUAGGGCGGGACACGUGGUAUCCUGUCUGAAUAUGGGGGGACCAUCCUCCAAGGCUAAAUACUCCUGACUGACCGAUAGUGAACCAGUACCGUGAGGGAAAGGCGAAAAGAACCCCGGCGAGGGGAGUGAAAAAGAACCUGAAACCGUGUACGUACAAGCAGUGGGAGCACCUUCGGGUGUGACUGCGUACCUUUUGUAUAAUGGGUCAGCGACUUAUAUUCUGUAGCAAGGUUAACCGUAUAGGGGAGCCGCAGGGAAACCGAGUCUUAACUGGGCGUUAAGUUGCAGGGUAUAGACCCGAAACCCGGUGAUCUAGCCAUGGGCAGGUUGAAGGUUGGGUAACACUAACUGGAGGACCGAACCGACUAAUGUUGAAAAAUUAGCGGAUGACUUGUGGCUGGGGGUGAAAGGCCAAUCAAACCGGGAGAUAGCUGGUUCUCCCCGAAAGCUAUUUAGGUAGCGCCUCGUGAACUCAUCUUCGGGGUAGAGCACUGUUUCGGCUAGGGGGUCAUCCCGACUUACCAACCCGAUGCAAACUACGAAUACCGAAGAAUGUUAUCACGGGAGACACACGGCGGGUGCUAACGUCCGUCGUGAAGAGGGAAACAACCCAGACCGCCAGCUAAGGUCCCAAAGUCAUGGUUAAGUGGGAAACGAUGUGGGAAGGCACAGACAGCCAGGAUGUUGGCUUAGAAGCAGCCAUCAUUUAAAGAAAGCGUAAUAGCUCACUGGUCGAGUCGGCCUGCGCGGAAGAUGUAACGGGGCUAAACCAUGCACCGAAGCUGCGGCAGCGACACUAUGUGUUGUUGGGUAGGGGAGCGUUCUGUAAGCCUGCGAAGGUGACCUGUGAGGGUUGCUGGAGGUAUCAGAAGUGCGAAUGCUGACAUAAGUAACGAUAAAGCGGGUGAAAAGCCCGCUCGCCGGAAGACCAAGGGUUCCUGUCCAACGUUAAUCGGGGCAGGGUGAGUCGACCCCUAAGGCGAGGCCGAAAGGCGUAGUCGAUGGGAAACAGGUUAAUAUUCCUGUACUUGGUGUUACUGCGAAGGGGGGACGGAGAAGGCUAUGUUAGCCGGGCGACGGUUGUCCCGGUUUAAGCAUGUAGGCUGAUUGUCCAGGCAAAUCCGGAUAAUCAAGGCUGAGGUGUGAUGACGAGGCACUACGGUGCUGAAGUAACAAAUGCCCUGCUUCCAGGAAAAGCCUCUAAGCAUCAGGUAACAUUAAAUCGUACCCCAAACCGACACAGGUGGUCAGGUAGAGAAUACCAAGGCGCUUGAGAGAACUCGGGUGAAGGAACUAGGCAAAAUGGUGCCGUAACUUCGGGAGAAGGCACGCUGGUGUGUAGGUGAAGUCCCUGCGGAUGGAGCUGAGACCAGUCGAAGAUACCAGCUGGCUGCAACUGUUUAUUAAAAACACAGCACUGUGCAAACACGAAAGUGGACGUAUACGGUGUGACGCCUGCCCGGUGCCGGAAGGUUAAUUGAUGGGGUUAUCCGUAAGGAGAAGCUCUUGAUCGAAGCCCCGGUAAACGGCGGCCGUAACUAUAACGGUCCUAAGGUAGCGAAAUUCCUUGUCGGGUAAGUUCCGACCUGCACGAAUGGCGUAAUGAUGGCCAGGCUGUCUCCACCCGAGACUCAGUGAAAUUGAACUCGCUGUGAAGAUGCAGUGUACCCGCGGCAAGACGGAAAGACCCCGUGAACCUUUACUAUAGCUUGACACUGAACAUUGAGCCUUGAUGUGUAGGAUAGGUGGGAGGCUUUGAAGCGUGGACGCCAGUCUGCGUGGAGCCAACCUUGAAAUACCACCCUUUAAUGUUUGAUGUUCUAACGUUGGCCCCUGACCGGGGUUGCGGACAGUGUCUGGUGGGUAGUUUGACUGGGGCGGUCUCCUCCCAAAGCGUAACGGAGGAGCACGAAGGUUAGCUAAUCCUGGUCGGACAUCAGGAGGUUAGUGCAAUGGCAUAAGCUAGCUUGACUGCGAGCGUGACGGCGCGAGCAGGUGCGAAAGCAGGUCAUAGUGAUCCGGUGGUUCUGAAUGGAAGGGCCAUCGCUCAACGGAUAAAAGGUACUCCGGGGAUAACAGGCUGAUACCGCCCAAGAGUUCAUAUCGACGGCGGUGUUUGGCACCUCGAUGUCGGCUCAUCACAUCCUGGGGCUGAAGUAGGUCCCAAGGGUAUGGCUGUUCGCCAUUUAAAGUGGUACGCGAGCUGGGUUUAGAACGUCGUGAGACAGUUCGGUCCCUAUCUGCCGUGGGCGCUGGAGAAUUGAGGGGGGCUGCUCCUAGUACGAGAGGACCGGAGUGGACGCAUCACUGGUGUUCGGGUUGUCAUGCCAAUGGCACUGCCCGGUAGCUAAAUGCGGAAGAGAUAAGUGCUGAAAGCAUCUAAGCACGAAACUUGCCCCGAGAUGAGUUCUCCCUGAGACUAUAAGUCUCCUGAAGGAACGUUAAAGACGAUGACGUUGAUAGGCCGGGUGUGUAAGCGCAGCGAUGCGUUGAGCUAACCGGUACUAAUGAACCGUGAGGCUUAACCUU